UCCUUGAUCAAGAUGGGCCAUAACCAAGAGUGGUCCAAAGGUCUAUCGUGCGCGAUCCAACGGGCCGAUCGAUGUGCCCAUGCAAUCCAACGGUCCAAACGCUCCAAACAAGCAACCCAGGCACAUCUACCUAGUGUGGGGUCUUCAAUGAUGGCUACGAAUGCGACUUGGGUCUCGUGGGCCCACGUGAUGAUCGUCUAGCCAUAAUUGCUCGAAUAUCCUCAUCACUUUUUUCUUUGAAUUUUGUCAUCUUGUGCUAUCUAUAAACUGAUAUCUUAUUCUUCCAUUGUUCAAUUGAUUCUAACUCGAUCCAAGAAAGUAUCCAUGCAGUGAUUUUUCAUGCUUCCUCCAAUAUUUACUAGAAAAUGCUAUCUAUUGUGAACAUUAUUUUGAAAAAUGUACCCUUUUCAAUUACGUUGAAUAUAAGAUGUCUGCACUUGGCCCCACCUCCCAAGACUGUAGCAAGGCAAAUUGGAAUGGACAUGAUACUUUCUUAGUUAAAGGAUUGAUAGAGCAAACUAAUAUUGGGAAACACAAUGCCUCGGUGUGGAAUAAGGAAGCAUGGAAGUCCAUUAGAGACGCAUUCAAUCUUAGAUUCGGGCGCAUACUAAAGCGAAGUUUUUUAGAAAGGCAAACUUCCCUAUUUACAAUCAGCUAGACAUAUUAAUACAGGGUGUUGAGCCAAAAGUUACUAUCUCACUGGAAAGCUUUGAUCAAGUGCAGGUGUGGUUUUGUUAAUUCUUUAACUCUGCUUGAAAGCAACUGAUCUUAUCUCUCUUCAUGAAUUCAAACAACGGAAUCUUUUUGUUUCCUUCAUGUUUUCCUUUAAUCUACGAACUUUGCCAUUUUGCAUUCAGAAUGCUUCUGAUUUUGAACUUCCAGAUUUGUUACAGAUGCAUCAGGCAAUGUGAUACCUGGAGUCUGUGGUGUUCAUAAUCGAUGGCAGGUUAGGUUCUCAUUGAUAAACAUUAUAUUGUAAAGUGGCAUUCAUGAACAAAUGCACAAUGAUUGGCAUUCUAAAUUGAUCAACUCGAACAAAUUUCUGCGCUGAUCCAUAAAGAUGGGAAACAAAUUACGUAGUACCAGUUUUGAGCUCCUGGUAAAUUCCAAUCAGUUUGAAGGAUCCCAAAUAAAUUCAGGUUCUAGAGUACCAUAGCAUUUUACCCACCACAAAUUGAAAUCACUUGUUUUGAAAUAUCUUAUCCAUUACUCAGUUUGCAGCAUGCACGAGAUGGGCAGUUUGUAACUGUUUCAAUCUGAUAUGUUCAGUUAGUCUACAAUUCAAUACUGGCAGAAUUUGCUGGCCAUUGAUUGGUGAGGAGACAGUUCCAACUGAACUGACAGUUCUGCAUUUUGACACUUCACAGAGGGAGGGAGAGGGUUAAGGAUUUCUUCAAACAUGUUCAAGUCGCCACUGUUUGUCUUACUACUUUUCACCAUGCCAUUUGAUUCAUCAGCUGGUUAAGGAUCUCUUCAAACAAGUUCAAGUCACUACCGUUUGUCUUACUACUUUUCACCGUGCCAUUUGAUUCAUCAGUUGGUUAAGGUUCUCUUAAAGUUCAAGUGGCCACUGUUUUUUCUUACUACUUUUCACCAUGCCAUUUGAUUCAUCAGCUUGUUUUGAAAGGUUUUUGGGGGUCCAUUUGGUAUGGAUCUGUUCAAAUAAGCUUUGUUUUGUCUUACUUAAUGGCUUGUUACUGCUUUUCACCAUGCCAUUUGGUUCAUCACAGUUUUUAGUGUUUUCAGAAUGCCCUGGGAAAGGAAUUAUGGUAUUUGGCGCUAUCAUCCACAUUUGUAUAAUCAAAUGCUUAUAAAAAACAACAGCACUAACACAGAGGAGUCUGUUUUUUUGCUGCU
This is a long non-coding RNA of Magnolia sinica, 1857 nucleotides long. RefSeq lists it as uncharacterized. The record is from RefSeq and is a predicted model, not a curated record. NCBI's taxonomy places the organism in Eukaryota, Viridiplantae, Streptophyta, Magnoliopsida, Magnoliales, Magnoliaceae. The transcript is spliced from 3 exons.